AUUGAACGCUGGCGGCAGGCCUAACACAUGCAAGUCGAGCGGAGCGGCGGACGGGUGAGUAAUGCCUAGGAAUCUGCCUGGUAGUGGGGGAUAACGUCCGGAAACGGGCGCUAAUACAGCAUACUCUCAGAUGAGCCUAGGUCGGAUGAGCUAGUUGGUGGGGUAAAGGCCUACAAAGGCGACGAACAGUAACUGGUCUGAGAGGAUGAGCAGUAACACGGGAACUGAGACAGGGUCCAGAAUCCUACGGAGGGCAGCAGUGGGGAAUAUUGGACAAGGGGCGAAAGCCUGAUCCAGCCAUGCCGCGUGGGUGAAGAAGUUCUUCGGAUUGUAAAGUACUUUAAGUUGGGAGGCGUUACCAACAGAAUAAGCACCGGCUAACUUCGUGCCAGCAGCCGCGGUAAUAC
Molecule: ribosomal RNA, 407 nt
Filed under: uncultured bacterium
Lineage: Bacteria
Description: partial 16S ribosomal RNA
Rfam family: Bacterial small subunit ribosomal RNA
Source: RNAcentral